AACGUAGGAGGCAAGCGUUAUCCGGAUUUACUGGGCGUAAAGCGCGUGUAGGCGGCCCGGUCAGUCGGACGUGAAAUCUCCUGGCUCAACUAGGAGGGGCCGUUCGACACUACCGGGCUUGAGGGCAAGAGAGGGAGGUGGAAUUCCGGGUGUAGCGGUGAAAUGCGUAGAUAUCCGGAGGAACACCUGUGGCGAAAGCGGCCUCCUGGCUUGCCCCUGACGCUCAGACGCGAAAGCUAGGGGAGCGAACGGG
This 253-nucleotide ribosomal RNA is filed under the name uncultured Bellilinea sp. RNAcentral describes it as "partial 16S ribosomal RNA". It matches the Rfam family "Bacterial small subunit ribosomal RNA", at positions 524 to 776 of the family's 1533-position model. The record is from RNAcentral. Lineage: Bacteria; Bacillati; Chloroflexota; Anaerolineae; Anaerolineales; Anaerolineaceae.